RNAcentral lists this ribosomal RNA (422 nucleotides) under uncultured Desulfobulbus sp. RNAcentral describes it as "bacterial SSU rRNA". It matches the Rfam family "Bacterial small subunit ribosomal RNA", at positions 963 to 1382 of the family's 1533-position model. The record is from RNAcentral. Lineage: Bacteria; Pseudomonadati; Thermodesulfobacteriota; Desulfobulbia; Desulfobulbales; Desulfobulbaceae.
CUAGAACCUUACCUAGGCUUGACAUCCCGGGAAUUUGCUGGAAACAGUGAAGUGCUUUCAUUAGAAGAGCCCGGUGACAGGUUGCUGCAUGGCUGUCGUCAGCUCGUGUCGUGAGAUGUUGGGUUAAGUCCCGCAACGAGCGCAACCCUCGCCUUUAGUUGCCAGCAUUCAGUUGGGCACUCUAAGGGACUGCCGGUGUCAAACCGGAGGAAGGUGGGAUGACGUCAAGUCCUCAUGGCCUUUAUGUCUAGGGCUACACACGUACUACAAUGGCAGGUACAAAGGGCAGCGACACAGCGAUGUGAUGCGAAUCCCGAAAAGCCUGUCUCAGUCCGGAUCGGAGUCUGCAACUCGACUCCGUGAAGUUGGAAUCGCUAGUAAUCGUGGAUCAGCAUGCCACGGUGAAUACGUUCCCGGGCCUU